RNA transcript from Panicum virgatum (switchgrass), 2310 nucleotides. It is a transcript of the gene named translation initiation factor IF-2-like, with no coding region annotated. The transcript has 11 exons. The record is from RefSeq and is a predicted model, not a curated record. NCBI's taxonomy places the organism in Eukaryota, Viridiplantae, Streptophyta, Magnoliopsida, Poales, Poaceae.
UCGACCCACACCAAGACGCCGUCGAGGCACCGUACCCCCUCGCGGCCGAUGUGACCACGUUCUUCGAACAUGGCGGGCUCACCUUGGGGCAAAAGGGAGAUUUGCCGUCACAUCCAUAGAGUAAUUUAGGCAGCUUCGCGAGCUACAACCAAAAAGUCCAUAAACUUUAACACAUGAUUGGUCUUUUUCCUUGUCAGGUAUCAGUAAAUAGCAUUUUUCAUUUGUCAUAUCGAAUUUGAUCUAUGGUAAUGAUAGUCUUUGAUUGCAGGACAAAGAAGAGGCAAUGAUUGAGUUUCUGUGAUUAGUAAAUGAGACCAACCUGUUAGGUGCAGGGGAAUAUGUGGGUCUUCAUUGAUGCUCCUUUCCUGAUGAAAAACUUGGAUUUAGGUUAUGGUUGAUUUAAUUGGAUGCUCCUUUCCUGAGAUUUUGAGGUUUAUUUUUUUCAGGCUAUGAACAAGAGCUAUCUGAUGUGCUGCCGACAUGAAAGAAGCCUACGGUUGAGGGUAGAGCUUUGAGUGGAUCAGGUUUUGGAGCAAAAAAAAAAAAAGCUUCAGGUUUCCUAAGCUGCCAAGCUGCCGAGGAUACAUAGCCUCAACUGAAGGAAAGCUCCAUUCAAAUAUGUAUUCAUUUAUCACAACACUUCCAUCAUGUGUUCAAAGUGCAUAAGUAUAGCGUUCGGUCACGUUCAGAGUUGAUUUAAUGGAAGAUUGAAGCCUCGAUGACAUCAAUGAACACAAAGGGACUGGACAACGUCAAUAGCUGCAUCGGCGGUGAAUCCCGAGAUGAUAUAAAUGACCGGUACUUACUGAACCAGAAUAACAAAAGCUGGAUGCACUUAGGAUGGAAGCACUUGAGUUAAGCACUGCACAGAAAGAAUCGGCAGUGGACUUAUCUUGCAGGCCAGGUUGAAUGCUGAUUGCCCCUCUAGCCAUGUUGAUUGCUGAUUGCCCCCCUACAAUGGCAGCUGGUCCUGGAUGUGUGCUGGUGAAGGUGACGGUGAGGCAAUGAAGCUGUGUUCGGCCAAGCUGCUGCAACAGCAGCGAGAACAGAUCUGCUUUCCUAACAGGAGGGCGAGACGCGAGAGGCCUAUAUAAAAGCCAUCGACCCCAACGACCCCAUUGCUUCAUCUUGCGUUUUGGGAUCUGGAAUUCGACAGGACCCGUGACUCCGAUCUGAAGACAAUGUGAGGCGGCCUCCGGCUCCGGUGAUGAACAAGGCUCCUUCAGAAUCUGCAAAGCAUGCGCGACGGCAUGGACGAUCAUCUUCUUCACCUGCAGUCAUGAAGAGAUCAAGCCAGCAUUAAAAGGGGAAAAAAGGUCCUAUCAUGUAGACCAGGAUGAAGGCUUCCUCUUCAUCAAGUCGCCUCGUCUCAACAGAGAAAAGAAAAAACAUCCGAGGACUUGAUCAACACAGUCCAGUAUGAUAUAACUAUGUCCAAUGGAUGGAUUUGGGUAAAUCGUUCUCAAUUCCAAUCGUGUAAAUUAUUUACUUACCGCAUCAGACAAAUCACAAUGAAGCUUUGUAACGGAAUCUCCUCUGCCUAGUUCCUGUGCAUAGCCAUAAGCUAUAUAUGAUUUUGGGCCCAUGUCAAGCUUUAAGAUGUCACCAGGAAGCAACGCAGAGACAUUUAGCAAGCCAGAUUUCAAAUUUGUAUAUGGCUGAAAUGGCAAGGAAUUGAUGUAUUUCCUUCCAUGGGAAGGCAAAAUAUUUUCAAAGUGGUUUGAAGUAGGCCAGUCCUUUAAUUUAAGCAUUUCAGGCCAAAGAUUGCGAUACAUCCGACCAUGAUAAUACCCUUUGAAAAAGUCAGUGGUGCGUAUCUCAACCUGUAUAUAUAUAAACAAAUAGAUUAGGUUUCUCACUUGAUUAUGGUAAAAGGGAAAAAAAUAGCAUCUCUAACAGAAUAAUUAAUGUAGCAUAGAUUUGCAGUUGGAAGAAUGUAUUGCACUACCCUCACAGAAAGCCAGACAGUCAAUGGCUUUCACCAUUUUCAUCUCAGAACUAUUAUCGGUGCCAUGUAUUGCAGACCACAUAUCUGGUGGCUCCCAGCUUAAAUGAGACAUUUUGUUGAGCACCCCUUGCACAAUUACAGGUUCUCCUUUCACCCAGUGCUUCUGGAAGUGCUUGAGAUCAUCUGGCUUCCUGUCAUCUGAUAUGGGACAAUAUAUGCUGUUAUCUGUUGAAUUUUCUCUGGUAGCAGCUUUCCUUGAAUUUUCAUGAUUAGCUGAACAUGAGCAUUCGCAUGUAUCUGUACUGAUGAUAUCAGAAGGUUGUAGCUGCUUGCUCAUUUGCAAAGCCAACAUUUCGAGCUUA